ACGGGAUGAGUCGUCUGGGGACGACGCCGCCAUGACGAGGCGGAGGAGCAGGGUUCGAUCCCCUGAUCCCGUA
This 73-nucleotide transfer RNA is filed under the name Polyangiaceae bacterium LLY-WYZ-15_(1-7). Its description in RNAcentral is "tRNA-Val". The record is from RNAcentral. Lineage: Bacteria; Pseudomonadati; Myxococcota; Polyangiales; Polyangiaceae.